RNAcentral lists this ribosomal RNA (175 nucleotides) under Devario cf. malabaricus CBM ZF 11339. RNAcentral describes it as "partial 12S rRNA". The record is from RNAcentral. Lineage: Eukaryota; Metazoa; Chordata; Actinopteri; Cypriniformes; Danionidae.
AACCGCGGUUAGACGAGAGGCCCCAGUUGAUUACACCACGGCGUAAAGGGUGGUUAAGGAGAUUAGACAAAUAAAGCUGAAUGGUCCUUUAGCCGUCAUACGCUCUUAGAGAUCCGAAACCCAAACACGAAAGUAGCUUUAAUAAAACCUACCUGAUUCCACGAAAACUGAGGAA